UCCUACGGGGGGCAGCAGUGAGGAAUAUUGGUCAAUGGUCGGGAGACUGAACCAGCCAAGCCGCGUGAGGGAUGAAGGUACAGAGUAUCGUAAACCUCUUUUGUCGGGGAACAAAGGCGGGGACGUGUCCCCGGAUGAGUGUACCUGAAGAAAAAGCAUCGGCUAACUCCGUGCCAGCAGCCGCGGUAAUACGGAGGAUGCGAGCGUUAUCCGGAUUUAUUGGGUUUAAAGGGUGCGCAGGCGGUCUGUUAAGUCAGCGGUCAAAGCCCGGGGCUCAACCCCGGCCCGCCGUUGAAACUGGCAGG
RNAcentral lists this ribosomal RNA (305 nucleotides) under uncultured bacterium. RNAcentral describes it as "bacterial SSU rRNA". It matches the Rfam family "Bacterial small subunit ribosomal RNA", at positions 337 to 640 of the family's 1533-position model. The record is from RNAcentral.